ACAGCCGCUGCGACUUCCUUUUGGCAACGUCGUUGGACCGAGAACUCACGCGGCGUUGGCCACGGCGAGGAGGUCGCGGUUGUCGAGGAGCGCGGCCCGCGGCAGCUCCACAAUCAGAAGAUCAAUAUUGUUGCAUGUGCGUGUGACUCACGGAGGCACGACGACGACGUGUAUGCAGCAGAUGAAGAGGAAGACCAG
Hippocampus comes (tiger tail seahorse) is the source of this 198-nucleotide long non-coding RNA. RefSeq lists it as uncharacterized. The record is from RefSeq and is a predicted model, not a curated record. NCBI's taxonomy places the organism in Eukaryota, Metazoa, Chordata, Actinopteri, Syngnathiformes, Syngnathidae. The transcript has 3 exons.